GAUGAACGCUGGCGGCGUGCCUAAUACAUGCAAGUCGAGCGAACAGACGAGGAGCUUGCUCCUCUGACGUUAGCGGCGGACGGGUGAGUAACACGUGGAUAACCUACCUAUAAGACUGGGAUAACUUCGGGAAACCGGAGCUAAUACCGGAUAAUAUAUUGAACCGCAUGGUUCAAUAGUGAAAGACGGUUUUGCUGUCACUUAUAGAUGGAUCCGCGCCGCAUUAGCUAGUUGGUAAGGUAACGGCUUACCAAGGCAACGAUGCGUAGCCGACCUGAGAGGGUGAUCGGCCACACUGGAACUGAGAGACGGUCCAGACUCCUACGGGAGGCAGAAGUAGGGAAUCUUCCGAAAUGGGCGAAAGCCUGAAGGAGCAACGCCGCGUGAGUGAUGAAGGUCUUCGGAUCGUAAAACUCUGUUAUUAGGGAAGAACAAAUGUGUAAGUAACUAUGCACGUCUUGACGGUACCUAAUCAGAAAGCCACGGCUAACUACGUG
Molecule: ribosomal RNA, 497 nt
Filed under: uncultured bacterium
Lineage: Bacteria
Description: partial 16S ribosomal RNA
Rfam family: Bacterial small subunit ribosomal RNA
Source: RNAcentral